GUGCUUAUAGUAUAAUAUAAUACACUUGCUUUUCACGCAAGAAACACAUAUGUAAUGUUAAACA
Molecule: transfer RNA, 64 nt
Filed under: Platynereis cf. australis PA-2020
Lineage: Eukaryota; Metazoa; Annelida; Polychaeta; Phyllodocida; Nereididae
Description: tRNA-Glu
Rfam family: tRNA
About the family: Transfer RNA (tRNA) molecules are approximately 80 nucleotides in length.
Source: RNAcentral